This 3967-nucleotide long non-coding RNA is filed under the name Sus scrofa (pig). RNAcentral's name for it is "lncRNA (ENSSSCG00030047821.1)". The record is from RNAcentral. Lineage: Eukaryota; Metazoa; Chordata; Mammalia; Artiodactyla; Suidae.
CAGUCCCAACUGGUUACUCAGUUCACCUGCCUUAGAAAUUUAAAAGCUGUUAUAAAUCUGUGCUGUGCUUUUACAUUUUAUUUUAUUUUUUUAUGGCUGCGUCUGUGGCAUAUGGCAGUUCCUGGACUGCGAUGUACACCAUGGCUGCCUCAAUGCCCAAUCCUUAAUCCACUGUGCUAGGCAGGGAUUGAAUUCUCACCACUGCAUAAACAACACUGGAUUCUUAACCCACUGUGCUACAGUGCUAUGCUUUUAGAUAAGCAAGUAGUUUUUUUUUUUUUCCUAGGGCUGCACCCGCGGUAUGGAGGUUUCCAGGCUAGGGGUCCAAUCGGAGCUGUAGUCACCAACCUACACCAGAGCCACAGCAAUGCGUCACAGAUGUGGCUUUGAUCUGGUGUUGUUGUGGCUAUGGUGUAGGCCAGCAGCUGUAGCUCUGAUUAGACCCCAGCCCGGGAACCUCCAUGUGCUGUGGGUGGGGCCCUAAAAAGCAAAAAAAAAAAUAAAAAAAAAGAAAGAAAAAAGAAAUGGGGUGGGGAGCAGGGUAGAAGAGGGGAUGAAUGUAGGAAGAACAAAGAUGAAUGAAUACUUCAGUAAUUAUUUUGCUGCAGAUAGAAGCUGCUUGGAUAGUAAAACGCUGUCCUCUCUCAGACAUAUAGAUUAAACUUGUGACUCAUUUUAUGCCAGGGCGUUCCUCCAAAACAUAUUAUUUUACUCCUUUUAAGUAACUGACAGUUUUCAUUGGCAAUACACAAUUACAACUUUUACAGUCCAGGCAGUAUUUUAGGAAGCUUAAAGCUUGGGUUGUGGAGUCAGAACCCACCAGUGGUGGGACAUUCAGAAAGGAAUGACCAGGAUUUUCAGCUUCAUGGAGGGGAGGGCCCUGCAAGGCUCCAUCCCUCCACUCAAGAUGGUCAGGAGGACACACAUCGCUCCCCAACAGCUCCAUGAAGCCGGAGAUCACAUGGGCUUGAUCACAGCUUAGUUCUCAGACCUAGCAAGGAGCAGGGCACAGCAGGUACCUCGCAGUGUUUAUUAAGUGAAUGAACACCGUGUAGGACGGUAAGUAUCUCGUGUAUGAAUCACUCAGCACUGCAAUAUUAUUUUAUCCCCAGGUGGAAGACAAGAUGGUGGAUUUUUUUCUUUGUAGUCAGUUUACCUCUAUCCCAGAGCAGCAAGCCCAUGUAUAGUAAUAUUAAUGGAACAAUCCAUUCUGUAUUUCUUAAUCUAGUUCAAAUCAGAAAUUUAAAGAUUUCUUGGAGCCAUAGAGGACUUCUCCUAAGAGAAAACCAAAGGGGAAAUGUAUGGAAUAUAGUGAAAUUCUCAAAUCUCCCAGCUCUACUUGUAUCAUGUACAGAGUUAAAAAAGCAGAGUUCUUGGACUCCCAUCGUGGCUCAGUAGUAAUGAACCCAACUAGUAUCCAUGAGGACACACGUUCAAUCCCUCGCUCAGUGGAUUAAGGAUCCUGCAUUGCCGUGAGCUGUGGUGUAGGUCACAGACCCAGCUUGGAUCUGGUGUUGCUAUGGCUGUGAUGUAGGCUGGCAGCUGCAGCUCCAAUUCAACCCCUAGCCUGGGAACUUACACAUGCCCUUAAAAAAAAAAAUAAAAAGAAAGAAAGAAAGAAUAGAGUUCCGAGCCCCAGCACCUCUGUGGAGAUGAUGCAACUUUGGAGAGAAACCCACAGUGUGAAAGUCAUUUCAGUGAUAUUGUUUGAACAUCAGAGAUAGGUAUGCCUUUUAUUAAUAUUGACAAACCUGACCAUAAGCUCUGUUUGAUUUAUGAGUCAUGUGCCAACACAAAAAGUUUCCCUUGAAGAAGAUAAAUGCUAUAGCUUCAUAAUGUGGAGUAGAGUUGGUUUCUUAAUAUUUAUUAGCAGUGUCCAACUUAGGGCUAAGAGGAGGGGGAAAUGUGGAGUUAUUGUUUAAUGGGUACAGAGAUUCACUUUGGGAUGAUGAAAAAGUUCUGGAGAAGGAUAAUGGUGUGGGGGUGCACGACAGUGUGAGUCUAUUUAGUGUCACUGAAUUACACAAUUAAAAAUCUCCGUAGCAAAAUGAGUAGACAAGAAAUUCUUCAUACCUAGGGAGCCACCAGAGACUCAAGUCCUAGAUGAUUCAUGGCCAGUGAUCUCUCAUAGGUCACCUCUGUAAGAGUCAGUGCAUUCAGGGACCCUCCCAUCCCCUACCCACUCCCCAACCCCAGAACCUCCAGCCUUGCAUUGUGGUACAUAACAAGUCUCUGUCUCCAAGGCAAAACAGUUAAAGUUACAGUAUCCUUGUACCAGUUUUAGCUGAACAUAUUUUAUUCCUUUUUGUGUUUCCAAAUGGGAGACCUUCUCCGACUGUCAAACUGGGCACUGUGUUUCCUGAAAGACUGUCUGUGGUAGGGGACUGGUUCCCACUUGUAGCCGGUCAGGUUGUUUGGAGUUCUUCUGCAUGUCUAGGAGGAAAAAGGCCUCCCACUUAACAUACAUUUUUGGUCUGAUUUUCCCUUGUAGUUUUUAUUUUAAAGUGGUUUUAUCUCAGGUAUUUAAUUGUGGGAUUUUGUGAAGCCCUUUGACUUACUGAAGAGGUUUAAAAAAUAGAAUUUGGAUUGUAAAAAAUGGAACUAGGUUUGUAAUUUCUGACCUUACAAAUUAUUUGCUUUUUUAAUUAAUUAAAAAAAUUAAAAAGCUCAUAAGUACAGUAUUUAAAUUUAAAUAUCCUAAAACUGAAAGGAAUCACUAAACUUAGUAUUGGGUUUAAUUCAUUUCUUCCAUGAAUAUGGAUACAGAUUUGUAGCUCUGGUUUAUAGGUAGAAUGAGGUAAAGUGAUAAAUAUAUACAGUGCUAGUAAAGCUUUACUUUAGCAAAAGGAAAACACACUGGAGAUAACUAGAAAAGAUUGGGUUUUCUUGCAAAGCCUUCAUAGAAACAUCAAGUUCAUUUGGCCUGACAGAUGACAGUGGUUUUUCUGUUUUGCAGACUGCUUUGUUCUAAAUGUUUUUUGUUUGUUUGUUUUUAUUUUGGUAGCAGAAUUGAGUCCAAUUUAGUGCAUAAUUGUGACGGUGAAGCACUUAAAUUCAGAAUUAUCUUUUCGCCUGAAUAUCUGAUUCAGAGCGGCAGUUGACAGUUUUCAUUUCCUUUGGUUAAAAGUGGUUAAAUGGAUAACUUCCAUUUUAGGGGUACCUGAAUUAUUAAAAAACAAAACAAACAAACAAGCAAACAAAACUGAAAAAUCCAACAGAGGAAUUUCAUCAUCUCAAUCUGCUUCUACUGAUUUUCAGGGCAGAAUUUUGAAUCCUGAGCUUUGGAGUCUAAACAUUAAGUAGAUAUAGAUACCAAGGAACUUCUGUCUCAUCCUGGAGGCUUGUGGGAAGUGUGAGUAGUCUUAGAAGAGAGUCUCACAUAUGCUGUUUGCCCUGUAUGCUUCUUCUCUCCUCCGGGUGGAGUGUCUUCUCCGGUUGAACCAGUGUUACAUUUCUAAUAGAAGUCACUACAUAAUUGUUAGAUAACUGGAGAAGUGUAUUAUUUCAGUAAUUUUCAAAUUCACAGAAGAAAUAGGACAUUAUAUUAUAUGAAAUAGUGCAGCUCAAGGCAACUCAUCCAUUACUAGCUGCUUUCACAUCCACAAUUCGUAAUUUACAGAGUGAUUGCAUGCACAUCAGCUCAUUGGUUUUUGAAAUGACUAUGUGCUGAGAGCCUGUUGGCAUAUAAAACAUGAUGAAGGGAUGGCUUUGUCCUCUUAACACCCGUUCUUGAUUGUCAUGAAGUGUUAGAAGUCUAUGAUACUAAUAGAAGAGGGGUUGAAUGGAGGAGUAGGAGGAAACCCAGACUAAGCUGGAGUCUCUGUAUUAACUGCAGUUGGUAUCUGGUCCCAUCCACCCAGUCUGCCAUUGGUUCUGCUGUACGGCUUCAUGAAAGACCAGGACUUGAGUUCCGACAAACUUGUGGGGAUUAAUAGUAUUGUCUCCUAAAUAUAAAAAAAAAUAAAAA